Molecule: long non-coding RNA, 203 nt
Filed under: Vigna radiata
Lineage: Eukaryota; Viridiplantae; Streptophyta; Magnoliopsida; Fabales; Fabaceae
Description: long non-coding RNA (VRAD_LNC002426)
Source: RNAcentral
CAGGUGGUGUCACUGCUCCGUGGGCUAAUGCAUGGUGUCGGUGUUAACCCUACGUGGGAUGUUUACAUUGGUGGAGAUGAGUGAUAGCGGAAGCAAAACCCUCGGUAGAAUAAUUUCAGGUUUCUUCUUUCAGCAAUCAUCAACUCACAUAUAUUAGAAGCAGAUCCCACAACAAAAGCUUAACAUCCCAACCUCAAUCUUUC